This 66-nucleotide ribosomal RNA is filed under the name Perennicordyceps cuboidea. RNAcentral describes it as "Polycephalomyces cuboideus partial 28S ribosomal RNA". It matches the Rfam family "Eukaryotic large subunit ribosomal RNA", at positions 1 to 64 of the family's 3401-position model. RNAcentral also lists the same sequence under 1 other name. The record is from RNAcentral. Lineage: Eukaryota; Fungi; Ascomycota; Sordariomycetes; Hypocreales; Polycephalomycetaceae.
GUUGACCUCGGAUCAGGUAGGAAUACCCGCUGAACUUAAGCAUAUCAAUAAGCGGAGGAAAAGAAA